Molecule: unclassified non-coding RNA, 148 nt
Organism: Callithrix jacchus (white-tufted-ear marmoset)
Lineage: Eukaryota; Metazoa; Chordata; Mammalia; Primates; Cebidae
Rfam family: Metazoan signal recognition particle RNA
About the family: The signal recognition particle (SRP) is a universally conserved ribonucleoprotein. It is involved in the co-translational targeting of proteins to membranes.
Source: Ensembl
GCCAGGGGUGGUGGCGCACACCUGUAAUCCCAGCUGCAAAGGAGGCUGAGGCAGGAGAAUCACUUGAACCCAGGAGAUGGAGGUUGCAGGGAGCCAAGUUUGUGCUACUGCACUCCAGCCUGGGUGACAGAGUGAGAGUCUGCCUUAA